UAUUCCUUCACCUUUUGAGUAUAUCUCCCAGUAACCGGUGAUAUAUCUCCCGGAUCAUUGCCUUUGUCAAUGUAUCCCCAGCGGGUCAUCUUUCAUUUACCUUUGGUGGGUAAUGAUCAUUUCUCCCUUCGAUUGGUCAUCAUUUUAUACCUAGUAUUCGGUAUCCCGAUGCCCUUUUCUUUCGGUCGAUUUAUCCUUUAUUAACCCAGUAACUGGUUGUGGAUAAUCUUCCAUGCGAGUAUGUUAUUUAUGUUCUGACGGUAAUAGAUAAUAUAUCUCAU
This 281-nucleotide long non-coding RNA is filed under the name Lathyrus oleraceus (garden pea). Its description in RNAcentral is "Pisum sativum (pea) long non-coding RNA (PSAT_LNC038230)". The record is from RNAcentral. Lineage: Eukaryota; Viridiplantae; Streptophyta; Magnoliopsida; Fabales; Fabaceae.